GGUUUUUUGUUUAAAUGUUUUUUCGCCUAAGGAUGGGUCUGCGGCCGAUUAGGUAGUUGGUUAGGUAACGGCUUACCAAGCCAUUGAUCGGUACGGGUUGUGAGAGCAAGAGCCCGGAGAUGGAACCUGAGACAAGGUUCCAGGCCCUACGGGGUGCAGCAGGCGCGAAACCUCCGCAAUGUGAGAAAUCGCGACGGGGGGAUCCCAAGUGCCAUUCUUAACGGGAUGGCUUUUCAUUAGUGUAAAGAGCUUUUGGAAUAAGGGCUGGGCAAGACCGGUGCCGGCCGCCGCGGUAACACCGGCAGCUCUAGUGGUAGCAGUUUUUAUUGGGCCUAAAGCGUCCGUAGCCGGUUUAAUAAGUCUCUGGUGAAAUCCUGUAGCUUAACUGUGGGAAUUGCUGGAGAUACUAUUAGACUUGAGACCGGGAGAGGUUAGAGGUACUCCCAGGGUAGAGGUGAAAUUCUGUAAUCCUGGGAGGACCGCCUGUUGCGAAGGCGUCUAACUGGAACGGUUCUGACGGUGAGGGACGAAAGUUAGGGGCGCGAACCGGAUUAGAUACCCGGGUAGUCCUAACCGUAAACGAUGCGGACUUGGUGUUGGGGUGGCUUUGAGCUGCUCCAGUGCCGAAGGGAAGCUGUUAAGUCCGCCGCCUGGGAAGUACGGUCGCAAGACUGAAACUUAA
Molecule: ribosomal RNA, 682 nt
Filed under: uncultured archaeon
Lineage: Archaea
Description: bacterial SSU rRNA
Rfam family: Archaeal small subunit ribosomal RNA
Source: RNAcentral